AUUUUUCUCAUAACUGUUUGAUAUAUUUGUGGACUUUGUAAAGUGAGUUAACCUUAAGUUAAAAUCUUAACUUCCUUUUCCUAUUCAUCUUCAGAUUAUGGAUUGGAUAUGUCUACUUCUGGAUGCAAAUUUUACUGUUGUAGUAAUGAUGCCAGAAGCAAAGAGGCUACUGAUAAAUCUUUACAAGCUUGUAAAAUCUCAGAUAACUGUUUAUUCCGAGCUCAACAAGAUUGAAGUAAGUUUUCGGGAGCUACAGAAAUUAAAUCAAGAAAAGAAUAAUAGAGGAUUAUAUUCAAUUGAAGUGCUGGAGCUCUUCUGAUAUUAUCAAUUCUCCUUCAUAGACAUUUUAUAAAGCUCUUUUAUGUGAACUCUUGCUUCAUCCAGGCAAGAACGGUGUUUUGUUUGCGACCAUCUCGGUGUCAAGAGAAACGUGUCAGUGAGUACCUGGACCAUCACUUAACUGAUGCUCCGGGGUAGGGCUGCAGGUUUCACGUGAACCUAUUCUAGGUUGUGGACAUUGGUGCGGAGAGGUUCUGCAAUUUUUUAAAAAUACGUAACUGGGUUGAUUUUAAGUAAAAUUAUUUGUGUAUUGAUAAAAGUCUAAUUUCUUA
RNAcentral lists this small RNA (611 nucleotides) under Pongo abelii (Sumatran orangutan). Its description in RNAcentral is "retained intron". The record is from RNAcentral. Lineage: Eukaryota; Metazoa; Chordata; Mammalia; Primates; Hominidae.